Molecule: ribosomal RNA, 997 nt
Filed under: uncultured fungus
Lineage: Eukaryota; Fungi
Description: eukaryotic LSU rRNA
Rfam family: Eukaryotic large subunit ribosomal RNA (bases 553-997)
Source: RNAcentral
GGAAGGAUCAUUAUCAGUUCAUGGCUGUACAUGCUGCAUGUGCAAUCCAAGAUAAACCACUCUGCGUAUUUUUCCUGUUGCUUCCAUGGGGCAUGGUGCUUGCGCCGCUCUGCCGGCACGGUCCUCGAGGCCACCGCCGUCCGGGAGUCCUCAUGGAAGGUCACCCAGCAAACCCUUUGCCUGCUCAUGAUUUCUGUCUGAAUGUGAUUUAUCGAAAUGUUAAAACUUUCAACAACGGAUCUCUUGGUUCUUGCAUCGAUGAAGAACGCAGCGAAAUGCGAUAAGUAGUGUGAAUUGCAGAUCUCAGUGAAUCAUCGAAUCUUUGAACGCACAUUGCGCCCCUCGGCAUUCCGGGGGGCAUGCCUGUUCGAGCGUCAUCAAAACCACCUCAAGGCAUUUUUAUGUUCUUGGUCCUGAAGGUUGAUUGGUUCGAUUUGCCACUCACCUUCGAAAUGAAUUGGCGGGUUGCAAUCUUCAACGAGUGUAAUAACAUUUACCAUUCAUGAGUCGAUCGUUGCACAUCUUGCCAUUGACCCCCACACAUUUCCAGGUUGACCUCGGAUCAGGUAGGGAUACCCGCUGAACUUAAGCAUAUCAAUAAGCGGAGGAAAAGAAACCAACAGGGAUUGCCUCAGUAACUGCGAGUGAAGCGGCAAAAGCUCAAAUUUGAAAUCCGGCGUCUCUGGCGUCUGAGUUGUAAUUUGGAGGGGCAUCUUCGAGGUUGGCGUCGUCCUAAGUUCCUUGGAACAGGACGUCACAGAGGGUGAGAAUCCCGUGCCUGGACGGAUGUCCGGCCUCAUGUGAAGUGUCUCCGACGAGUCGAGUUGUUUGGGAAUGCAGCUCAAAAUGGGUGGUAAAUUUCAUCUAAAGCUAAAUAUUGGCGAGAGACCGAUAGCGCACAAGUAGAGUGAUCGAAAGAUGAAAAGCACUUUGAAAAGAGAGUUAAAAAGUACGUGAAAUUGUUGAAAGGGAAGCGCUUGAGACCAGACUCGACUGG